UGAGCUUUCACUCACUGUCCACCACUGCUGUUUGCCGCCGUCGCAUACCCGCCAUUGACUUCCACCCCUCCGGAUCUGGCAGGGUGUCUGCUGCAUUUCUGAUCCAGCGAGGCACCCAUUGCCGCUUCCGUUUGGGCUAGAGGCUUGCCAUUGUUCCUGCACGGCUAAGUGCAGGAAUUUGUCCUAAUCAAGCUGAACACUAGUCACUGGGUUCCACGGUUCUCUUCUGUGACCCACGGCUUCUAAUAGAGCUAUAACAUUAACCGCAUGGACCAAGGUUCCAUUCCUUGGAUUCCGUGAGGCCAAGAACCCCAGAUCAGAGAACAAAAGGCUUGCUUCCAUCUUGGGAGUGGCCGCCACCAUCUUGUGAGCUCUAAGAACAAAGACCCACCUGUAACAUUUGGUGGCAACCGUAUGGUGAUUCUCCAAAGCGCCACCACUUGAGGAUAUAGCAAAAAGGCAGCCAUCUGCAAGCCAGAAGAGAGCUCUCACCAGAGAAGCACAUUGGCCAGUGCCUUGAUCUUAACCUUCCAGUCUCCAGAAUUGUGAGAAAUAAAUGUCUGUUGUUUGAGCCCCUACUCCAUGGCAUUUUGUUAUGGUUGCCUGAACUGACAGACUGCCUGCUCUGAAACUGCACCAACAGUCCCUGGCUAUUUUGUCAUUCAGAAUAAACCUCGUUUUAAA
Molecule: long non-coding RNA, 684 nt
Filed under: Homo sapiens (human)
Lineage: Eukaryota; Metazoa; Chordata; Mammalia; Primates; Hominidae
Description: HSALNT0045365
Source: RNAcentral